This 449-nucleotide ribosomal RNA is filed under the name uncultured bacterium. Its description in RNAcentral is "bacterial SSU rRNA". It matches the Rfam family "Bacterial small subunit ribosomal RNA", at positions 329 to 792 of the family's 1533-position model. The record is from RNAcentral.
CUCCAGACUCCUACGGGAGGCAGCAGUGGGGAAUAUUGGGCAAUGGGCGCAAGCCUGACCCAGCAACGCCGCGUGAAGGAAGAAGGCUUUCGGGUUGUAAACUUCUUUUCUCAGGGACGAAGAAAGUGACGGUACCUGAGGAAUAAGCCACGGCUAACUACGUGCCAGCAGCCGCGGUAAUACGUAGGUGGCAAGCGUUAUCCGGAUUUACUGGGUGUAAAGGGCGUGUAGGCGGGAAUGCAAGUCAGAUGUGAAAACUAUGGGCUCAACCCAUAGCCUGCAUUUGAAACUGUAUUUCUUGAGUGCUGGAGAGGCAAUCGGAAUUCCGUGUGUAGCGGUGAAAUGCGUAGAUAUUAGGAGGAACACCAGUGGCGAAGGCGGCUUACUGGACUGUAACUGACGUUGAGGCUCGAAAGCGUGGGGAGCAAACAGGAUUAGAUACCCCGGUA